This 54-nucleotide non-coding RNA is filed under the name unclassified sequences. The record is from Rfam.
CGACCGCCGCAGCGAUGCGGCCGAGGCCACACGGACAGCCGGGUCGAAUGCCGA